Molecule: ribosomal RNA, 981 nt
Filed under: marine metagenome
Description: bacterial SSU rRNA
Rfam family: Bacterial small subunit ribosomal RNA
Source: RNAcentral
UAGGAUCCAAGCGUUAUCCGGAAUUACUGGGCGUAAAGGGCGUGUAGGCGGCUUGGCAAGUCGGUCAUGAAAGCUCCCGGCUCAACUGGGAGAGGUUGUUCGAUACUGCUAGACUAGAGGGCAAGAGAGGGAGGUGGAAUUCCCGGUGUAGAGGUGAAAUGCGUAGAUAUCGGGAGGAACACCAGUGGCGAAGGCGGCCUCCUGGCUUGCAUCUGACGCUGAGACGCGAAAGCGUGGGGAGCGAACGGGAUUAGAAACCCCGGUAGUCCACGCCGUAAACGAUGUCAACUAGGUGUCGGUGGCGUAGAACCCGUCGGUAUCGAAGCUAACGCGUUAAGUUGACCGCCUGGGGACUACGAUCGCAAGAUUAAAACUCAAAGGAAUUGACGGGGACCCGCACAAGCAGCGGAGCGUGUGGUUUAAUUCGAGGCUACGCGAAGAACCUUACCAGGGAUUGACAUGCACGUAGUAGGGAAGCGAAAGCAGACCGACCCUUCGGGGAGCGUGCACAGGUGAUGCAUGGCUGUCGUCAGCUCGUGCCGUGAGGUGUCAGGUUAAGUCCUGUAACGAGCGCAACCCCUGUCGUGUGUUAUACGUGUCACACGAGACUGCCGGUGUCAAACCGGAGGAAGGCGGGGAUGACGUCAAGUCAGCAUGUCCUUCAUAUCCUGGGCUACACACACGCUACAAUGGCCGGGACAACAGGCAGCCAAGCCGCGAGGCGGAGCUAAUCCUCUAAACCCGGUCUCAGUUCGGAUUGUAGGCUGCAACUCGCCUGCAUGAAGUCGGAGUUGCUAGUAACCGCGCGUCAGCAACAGUGCGGUGAAUACGUUCCCGGGUCUUGUACACACCGCCCGUCACGUCAUGGAAGCUGGCAACACCUGAAGCCGGUGGCCUAACCGCAAGGAGGGAGCCGUCCAAGGUGGGGUUGGUGACUGGGACGAAGUCGUAACAAGGUAGCUGUAGCGGAAGCUGCGGCUG